Molecule: ribosomal RNA, 253 nt
Filed under: uncultured Salinisphaera sp.
Lineage: Bacteria; Pseudomonadati; Pseudomonadota; Gammaproteobacteria; Salinisphaerales; Salinisphaeraceae
Description: partial 16S ribosomal RNA
Rfam family: Bacterial small subunit ribosomal RNA
Source: RNAcentral
UACGAAGGGUGCAAGCGUUAAUCGGAAUUAUUGGGCGUAAAGCGAGUGUAGGCGGUUUCGUGUGUCGGAUGUGAAAGCCCCGGGCUCAACCUGGGAGUUGCAUUCGAAACUGCGGAGCUAGAAUAUGGUAGAGGAAGACGGAAUUCCACGUGUAGCGGUGAAAUGCGUAGAUAUGUGGAGGAACACCAAUGGCGAAGGCAGUCUUCUGGGCCAAUAUUGACGCUGAGGCUCGAAAGCGUGGGUAGCAAACAGG